GACGAACGCUGGCGGCGUGCUUAACACAUGCAAGUCGAACGGAAAGGCCCUGCUUUUGUGGGGUGCUCGAGUGGCGAACGGGUGAGUAACACGUGAGUAACCUGCCCUUGACUUUGGUAUAACUUCAGGAAACUGGGGCUAAUACCGGAUAGGAGCUCCUGCUGCAUGGUGGUGGUUGGAAAGUUUCGGCGGUUGGGGAUGGACUCGCGGCUUAUCAGCUUGUUGGUGGGGUAGUGGCUUACCAAGGCUUUGACGGGUAGCCGGCCUGAGAGGGUGACCGGCCACAUUGGGACUGAGAUACGGCCCAGACUCCUACGGGAGGCAGCAGUGGGGAAUAUUGCACAAUGGGCGGAAGCCUGAUGCAGCAACGCCGCGUGCGGGAUGACGGCCUUCGGGUUGUAAACCGCUUUCGCCUGUGACGAAGCGUGAGUGACGGUAAUGGGUAAAGAAGCACCGGCUAACUACGUG
RNAcentral lists this ribosomal RNA (468 nucleotides) under uncultured bacterium. RNAcentral describes it as "partial 16S ribosomal RNA". It matches the Rfam family "Bacterial small subunit ribosomal RNA", at positions 28 to 507 of the family's 1533-position model. The record is from RNAcentral.